This 125-nucleotide small RNA is filed under the name Marmota monax (woodchuck). Lineage: Eukaryota; Metazoa; Chordata; Mammalia; Rodentia; Sciuridae. The record is from RNAcentral.
GCCAGGAAUGGUAGCACACGCCUGUAAUCCCAGUGGCUCAGGAGGCUGAGACAGGAGGAUCAUGAGUUUGAAGCCAGCCCCAGCAAUGGAGAGGAACUAAGCAACUCUGUGAGACCCUGUCUCUA